This 244-nucleotide ribosomal RNA is filed under the name uncultured Staphylococcus sp. RNAcentral's name for it is "partial 16S ribosomal RNA". It matches the Rfam family "Bacterial small subunit ribosomal RNA", at positions 524 to 767 of the family's 1533-position model. Lineage: Bacteria; Bacillati; Bacillota; Bacilli; Caryophanales; Staphylococcaceae. The record is from RNAcentral.
UACGUAGGUGGCAAGCGUUAUCCGGAAUUAUUGGGCGUAAAGCGCGCGUAGGCGGUUUUUUAAGUCUGAUGUGAAAGCCCACGGCUCAACCGUGGAGGGUCAUUGGAAACUGGAAAACUUGAGUGCAGAAGAGGAAAGUGGAAUUCCAUGUGUAGCGGUGAAAUGCGCAGAGAUAUGGAGGAACACCAGUGGCGAAGGCGACUUUCUGGUCUGUAACUGACGCUGAUGUGCGAAAGCGCGGGGA